AUAUACGAUGAGCAAGUACGGUGCAUACAAACGUAUGCUGAAAAGGGAAGAACGGUGCAAAGCCGUCGCGGUACCCGCCACUGUGAUGGGGAGUUUCGUUGCAACGUGCCACUGAUUUUUUGGGAAGGCGCAACGAAAUGAUGAACCUAAGCCAGGAGACCUGCCUGCUUGCGAUACGUCGG
This 182-nucleotide non-coding RNA is filed under the name Anoxybacillus sp. The record is from RNAcentral. Lineage: Bacteria; Bacillati; Bacillota; Bacilli; Caryophanales; Anoxybacillaceae.